Molecule: long non-coding RNA, 447 nt
Organism: Oncorhynchus keta (chum salmon)
Lineage: Eukaryota; Metazoa; Chordata; Actinopteri; Salmoniformes; Salmonidae
Exons: 3
Source: RefSeq, a predicted model, not a curated record
CCCACCAGGUCUCUUUGGACCAGGCCCCACAGGUCUCUUUGGACCAGGCCCCACAGGUCUCUUUGGACCAGGCCCCACAGGUCUCUUUGGACCAGGCCCCACAGGUCUCUUUGGACCAGGCCCCACAGGUCUCUUUGGACCAGGCCCCACAGGUCUCUUUGGACCAGGCCCCACAGGUCUCUUUGGACCAGGCCCCACAGGUCUCUUUGGACCAGGCCCCACAGGUCUCUUUGGACCAGGCCCCACAGGUCUCUUUGGACCAGGCCCCACAGGUCUCUUUGGACCAGGCCCCACAGGUCUCUUUGGACCAGGGCCCACAGGUCUCUUUGGACCAGGGCCCACAGGUCUCUUUGGACCAGGGCCCACAGGUCUCUUUGGACCAGGGCCCACAGGUCUCUUUGGACCAGGGCCCACAGGUCUCUCUGGACCAGGCCCCACAGGUCUCUC